CCAUAGUUGUGAUUACACCGAAUUCACUUCAAUGUACCUAAUGGCUAUGUUAUUGUACUUCCUAAUGUUUCUUCAAGAAGAAAAAGCUCACGUGUAGGACGAUAUAAGCUGAUGUUAUCAAUUACUUCAUUAAUUCAAACUCUACAACAUUCAUUACCAAAUGGUAUAUGAUGCACUAAAUCACUUGGAUUUGUUGAUGUGAUUUCUUAUUUUGAAGGUUAUCUGAACCAUUCAAGCUUAUGUCUCUAGACUGUAAAAUUAUAAAAAAUUAAUUCAAACCUCAAUUGAAAUAGGAGAAAUUAGAACCGUUACAAACUCCUUCAACACUACUACAAUCCAUGUUUAAAGCAAGUCAUUCAUACAUUUUAUAGGUCACUUUUGGAAACUAAACAAUUGUACAUAAAGAACCAGUGCAGAUAAUUACUUGGCUAGGUAUAUUAAAAUUUGGGGAUUGCUUGAGUAAAAGAAUGCAUAAUGCUCUAACUUUCCAUAAGCACAAAAUCACAAACUCAGCAUAACUAAUUGGGAAGAGGAGUCUGUAAAAACAAAACUAAUAACAUAUAGUCUGCACUAACCUUAUCACUCCGUUUAUGGGUUGACUGCGAUGGCAACGGCGGGAUGCGGAUGACAACCAUGGGAGGCUAAAGGUGGCGGUGGUGUUCGCAAAAUCUAGCUUUGACUGAACGAUCCCAGGCUCGCAACAAGGGCUAAAUUGAGAGGAGGAGGGAGUAGGGAUGACAGGCUGAAUCGUGUAACUUGGAAGUAUUAUAGGUCCAAUCGCCGAUUGCAAGACUCGAGGGAUUCCAAAUUUGAAGGCCGAUGGUUCCUCGCAAGUGGUUUAGUUUAAUUGUAAUGGGAUU
RNAcentral lists this long non-coding RNA (860 nucleotides) under Olea europaea subsp. europaea. Lineage: Eukaryota; Viridiplantae; Streptophyta; Magnoliopsida; Lamiales; Oleaceae. The record is from RNAcentral.